UACAGAGGUCUCAAGCGUUGUUCGGAUUCAUUGGGCGUAAAGGGUGCGUAGGCGGCGCGGUAAGUCGGGUGUGAAAUCUUGGAGCUUAACUCCGAAACUGCAUUCGAUACUGCCGUGCUUGAGGACUGGAGAGGAGACUGGAAUUUACGGUGUAGCGGUGAAAUGCGUAGAUAUCGUAAGGAAGACCAGUGGCGAAGGCGGGUCUCUGGACAGUUCCUGACGCUGAGGCACGAAGGCGUGGGGAGCAAACAGG
RNAcentral lists this ribosomal RNA (253 nucleotides) under uncultured bacterium. Its description in RNAcentral is "partial 16S ribosomal RNA". It matches the Rfam family "Bacterial small subunit ribosomal RNA", at positions 524 to 776 of the family's 1533-position model. The record is from RNAcentral.